AUGGAUGCGCGUCGAUUUGGCCGGAACAACAACAAGGCUAUGCGGUGGAGGACCCAGGUAGAUUCACGGUGGCAUUACCGGAGUGGUGGUGGUCGGUUGCGGUGCUGGCUGGGAGUUGCUUUUGGGAGAGGUCGCCGUCGAUUUUCCAAAGUUGCGGUGAUGGCUGUUUCACAAGCUUGCACGAUUUCAAUCUUUUCUAAUUGA
Molecule: non-coding RNA, 204 nt
Organism: Vicia faba (fava bean)
Lineage: Eukaryota; Viridiplantae; Streptophyta; Magnoliopsida; Fabales; Fabaceae
Source: the annotation of a GenBank genome assembly